GUGCCAGCCGCCGCGGUAAGACGUAGGGGACGAGCGUUGUCCGGAUUCAUUGGGCGUAAAGCGCGCGUAGGCGGUUUGGUAAGUCGGAUGUGAAAACCAGAGGCUCAACCUCUGGCCUGCAUCCGAUACUGCCCGACUAGAGGUAGGUAGGGGAGAUCGGAAUUCCUGGUGUAGCGGUGAAAUGCGCAGAUAUCAGGAGGAACACCGGUGGCGAAGGCGGAUCUCUGGGCCUUACCUGACGCUGAGGCGCGAAAGCUAGGGGAGCAAACAGGAUUAGAUACCCUGGUAGUCCUAGCCGUAAACGUUGGGUGCUAGGUGUGGGAGGACAUCGACCCCUUCCGUGCCGAAGCUAACGCAUUAAGCACCCCGCCUGGGGAGUACGGCCGCAAGGCUAAA
This 396-nucleotide ribosomal RNA is filed under the name uncultured bacterium. Its description in RNAcentral is "bacterial SSU rRNA". It matches the Rfam family "Bacterial small subunit ribosomal RNA", at positions 505 to 898 of the family's 1533-position model. The record is from RNAcentral.